Molecule: long non-coding RNA, 1096 nt
Filed under: Homo sapiens (human)
Lineage: Eukaryota; Metazoa; Chordata; Mammalia; Primates; Hominidae
Description: long independently transcribed non-coding RNA 2084 (LINC02084)
Source: RNAcentral
GCGAACCCCAAAUGUGUGCGCUGAGCCGAGGCCUCUAAGCGGUAGGAGAGAAUCUGACCUCCGACAUUCUUUUCAAGACACGCGCCGGUGGACCGGGUCCUGGGAUUGGCUUACUCCCGGGCUGGACCUUGGGGUUCGCAUAUUUGAAAGCGUAAACUUGAGGAAUGACGGCGGGGUGAUGGGUAUUUUAUAGAGUGGGACUCAAUCGUGCUCAGCAACAGAUUUCUCCAAAUUCCCUUUUAAAAAGAGCCUCCCAGAGCUGUCGAAAUCUCCGCGGGGUGAAAGCUAAACUUUUGGAGUCGCUGUGUAGCCGGGUAGAGGACACGGCGGCGCGAGCCGGAAAGAUAAGUGUCCAGGCGAAUGGGAAAGGAAAGAUCUUAAUUUUUGUUCCUACUGUUAGCUGAAUGUCCAUAAAAAUCAAAGGGAAUGCGGGGAAGUUUUUAUUCCAGAGCGUUUCCAUGACACCCGCAGAGAUUUAAAAAAUUACAUUCCUCCCCCUACGCAGGUUUAAUUCGGAAAGAAGAGACUGCAGAGGAGAGGGAAGACCGUGAGUCUGCUUUCACCUAGGUUUAAAGCGAAUCAAAGACGGCUGUAAAAAGGGAAACCGGGACCAAAAACAGAUUUGGAGCCUCGAAACUCUCCAUUGAAGGUUUGGAAGAUACGUUGCUGCAGACUUGAAACCGGCUCCAAAUCCGGCCCAAACAUGGGCUGAAAAUAUGGCGCGCUAAUCUGCUGCUUCCCCUCCUCCUCAAGUUCUUUCUGACUCUUCCCACCUUUCCCAGUUUCCCUUCCAGACGUCUGCGGCUCCCCACUCCACCCCCAGGAUAGCUACUCUACAUCCCGACAAUUCCCAGCUUCUACACCCAGGAGGAGGAAUUCUGGAACCACCCAGAGCGAACUCGUGCCGGGGCGGGGUGGGGACCGGAGGAAGGUCCUGCUCCGAAUUCUCUCCAGAGCAGAAAAGAAUUCUAGAGGCUACAUGUGGGCUGCUUUCCCCCCUUCUUCCUUUUUUCCCUCGCAAACCAACAACCAAAAAGUGUUUGGUGAUGGAAAGAACACCAGUGGAAAACGGCAAAUAACAGUAUUUCCAACUCCG